Molecule: ribosomal RNA, 913 nt
Filed under: uncultured Bacteroidota bacterium
Lineage: Bacteria; Pseudomonadati; Bacteroidota
Description: bacterial SSU rRNA
Rfam family: Bacterial small subunit ribosomal RNA
Source: RNAcentral
CUGCAGGUCGACGAUUAGAGUUUGAUCCUGGCUCAGGAUGAACGCUAGCGGCAGGCUUAACACAUGCAAGUCGAGGGGUAACAGAGGUAGCUUGCUACUUGCUGACGACCGGCGCACGGGUGCGUAACGCGUAUAGAAUCUGCCUCAUACUGAGGGAUAGCCUUUGGAAACGAAGAUUAAUACCUCAUAGUAUAUCGACUCGGCAUCGGGAUGAUAUUAAAGGUUACGGUAUGAGAUGACUAUGCGUCCUAUUAGCUUGUUGGUAAGGUAACGGCUUACCAAGGCUACGAUAGGUAGGGGCCCUGAGAGGGGGAUCCCCCACACUGGUACUGAGACACGGACCAGACUCCUACGGGAGGCAGCAGUGAGGAAUAUUGGACAAUGGAGGCAACUCUGAUCCAGCCAUGCCGCGUGAAGGAUGACUGCCCUAUGGGUUGUAAACUUCUUUUAUAUAGGAAGAAACAGUUUCUCGUGAGAAACCUUGACGGUACUAUAUGAAUAAGCACCGGCUAACUCCGUGCCAGCAGCCGCGGUAAUACGGAGGGUGCAAGCGUUAUCCGGAAUCAUUGGGUUUAAAGGGUCCGUAGGCGGAUAGAUAAGUCAGAGGUGAAAUCCUGCAGCUCAACUGUAGAAUUGCCUUUGAAACUGUUUAUCUUGAGUUAUUGUGAAGUGGUUAGAAUAUGUAGUGUAGCGGUGAAAUGCUUAGAGAUUACAUGGAAUACCGAUUGCGAAGGCAGAUCACUAACAAUAUACUGACGCUGAUGGACGAAAGCGUGGGGAGCGAACGGGAUUAGAUACCCCGGUAGUCCACGCCGUAAACGAUGGAUACUAGCUGUUCGGCCGUAAGGCUGAGUGGCUAAGCGAAAGUGAUAAGUAUCCCACCUGGGGAGUACGUUCGCAAGAAUGAAACUCA